Molecule: long non-coding RNA, 850 nt
Organism: Triticum dicoccoides
Lineage: Eukaryota; Viridiplantae; Streptophyta; Magnoliopsida; Poales; Poaceae
Exons: 3
Source: RefSeq, a predicted model, not a curated record
GCCGCCGCCACUCUCUUCCAUCUCCCUCGGGAUCCUUUCCAAUCUACUCCACCUUGUUUUCUGCAGCCAACCAACCCGCAUCGCUCGCCGAUUUCCUCGUGCCCGAGGCCUCCAAAUCACUCCUCGCCGGAGACCAGCGUAGCCGCGCCCGAUCCCCUUUGCCUCCUCGUUCCCGUGCCGCAGCAGCCGAACAGGUGACCUCGCGCCCGAGCCUCCCGUGCGCCUCCAGCUUCCUGCCGGAGCAGCACCAGCGGCCAACCAGGGGAGAAUGCCAUGGGCGUCUGAGUUCUUCCACGCCGGCCGGCUACCUCGACCAGCAACCCACCCCGGCAGCAGCAGCCAGCCACCAUAGAGCCUCAGAGCCUCUCUCUCGUUCACAGGCACCCGACGCCUAGCCAUGGACGCCCACUUGGGCCUCGAGCUCGUCUCCUUCGCCGCCUUGCCCGACGGUCGCCGGCACCCCGAGGAUAGCCGCCGGAGCACCGUGCCAUGACCUUGUAGCUCCCACCGCGGAUCCGGCGGGUCCUGCCUUGGAUGCCGCGCCCGUACCCGGAUCAGCCGCGCCGCCUUGGUCCCCGUCGGCGUCGGCCUCUGCUCGCUUCUGCACCGGACACAGGGGAUCGACCCCUUUUUCUUGCGACAUCCUCUACUUCUUCCUCGAGCCCGCAGCAACUCCAGCGCGCGUUGACUUGUUCCUCUGCCAGCGUGGAGGAGAACCACGUAGCCACACGGGGCCUCUUCUUGCCUCGCCAAGGCUCGGCCUGCCUCCAUCUAAUGGGCCAGGCCCGCGGGCUUGCAGGUGCCGAUGAUACCAUGCAGGUGACGCAACCAAGCUCAAGGAGGAGCUCGA